This 377-nucleotide unclassified non-coding RNA is filed under the name uncultured Gammaproteobacteria bacterium. RNAcentral describes it as "contains 16S-23S intergenic spacer region". The record is from RNAcentral. Lineage: Bacteria; Pseudomonadati; Pseudomonadota; Gammaproteobacteria.
UCCAACUUAUCGCUGGCGGUCUCCUGCGAGUUCCCAACUGAAUGAUGGCAACACAGGACAAGGGUUGCGCUCGUUGCGGGACUUAACCCAACAUCUCACGACACGAGCUGACGACAGCCAUGCAGCACCUGUGUCUAGGUUCCCUUUCGGGCACACCCGCAUCUCUGCGAGCUUCCUAGCAUGUCAAGGGUAGGUAAGGUUGUUCGCGUUGCAUCGAAUUAAUCCACAUCAUCCACCGCUUGUGCGGGUCCCCGUCAAUUCCUUUGAGUUUUAAUCUUGCGACCGUACUCCCCAGGCGGUCAACUUCACGCGUUAGCUGCGGUACCAAGAACUUGCGCUCCCAACACCUAGUUGACAUCGUUUAGGGCGUGGACUAC